GAGAGUGUGUAGUUUGGCCUUUGGCAGCCCUCAUGACUCAUGGUAAAUAGGACACAUCUGUAUAACACCUUCCUCUUCUGCCUUUGGGGCUCUUUUCUUCCAGCAUCCCCUGUGGUGCAGGGCAGAAGGCUGUUCAGCUGGAGCCCCAGGGAUUUAUCAGAUUUUCAGCCAAAGUUCAUACCUAAAGUCAGGGGCCAGGAAGCAAGACAGUUGAGUGGAUGGGAUCGCCUCACAGGAAGAAGAAAAAGCAAAAAACAGGGCAAGAGGUGGAUUUUCUUUUCUCUCUCGUGCCUUGUAAAGAGGAAGAAGCACUGGCUUUGCACAGUGGCCAGAUAGCAGUUAAGGACCAUGAGACUGACAGAGAAAAGUGAUGUGCAAGAAUUCUUCAGCUGAAGCUGUUUUCACAGGAAGGAGAAGGACCAGCUGGUGGAAAUCAUGUGCCAUUACAGAAAUAACUGAGCAGCAGGAUACCUUCAGUUGGCUAUAAAACAGGGAUGAACAGCAGGAGUGAUGUUGCUGAAGCAGUCCUUUGGGAUUUUCUGUGCAAAAUGCAGCUAGGAAAAAAAAUAUUCCAUGGCUGUUUUUCUGUUUUGAUCUUCUGAAUAUUUGUCUUUGUCUUCCUAGGACACUUAUUUCAUAAAAAAUGUCUGAUGAUCGUUCCUCAGGCAAAACAUUCUCAAGGUCGUAAUGAUGCUUCCACAUGUCACCUGAAAGCAUUUUUAUUUACUAUUUGGCAGUGUCAAAAUAAAUGGUUACUAUUAAGUAGCCUGUCACUGUCUUCAUAAAUGAACAGUUUCUUGUUUGAAUAAUGCAUUGAGAAUCUUGCUUAUUUUUUGCAC
Long non-coding RNA from Anas platyrhynchos (mallard), 839 nucleotides. RefSeq lists it as uncharacterized. The record is from RefSeq and is a predicted model, not a curated record. Lineage: Eukaryota; Metazoa; Chordata; Aves; Anseriformes; Anatidae.